GAGCCUAUGUCGGAUUAGCUAGUUGGUAAGGUAACGGCUUACCAAGGCGACGAUCCGUAGCUGGUCUGAGAGGAUGAUCAGCCACACUGGGACUGAGACACGGCCCAGACUCCUACGGGAGGCAGCAGUGGGGAAUAUUGGACAAUGGGCGAAAGCCUGAUCCAGCCAUGCCGCGUGUGUGAAGAAGGCUUUCGGGUUGUAAAGCACUUUCAGCGAGGAAGAAAGCCUCUGGGUUAAUACCCUAGAGGAACGACAUCACUCGCAGAAGAAGCACCGGCUAACUCCGUGCCAGCAGCCGCGGUAAUACGGAGGGUGCUAGCGUUGUUCGGAAUUACUGGGCGUAAAGCGCGCGUAGGUGGCUUGGCACGCCGGUUGUGAAAGCCCCGGGCUCAACCUGGGAACGGCAUCCGGAACGGCCAGGCUAGAGUGCAGGAGAGGAAGGUAGAAUUCCCGGUGUAGCGGUGAAAUGCGUAGAGAUCGG
RNAcentral lists this ribosomal RNA (481 nucleotides) under Salinicola sp. MH3R3-1. Its description in RNAcentral is "bacterial SSU rRNA". It matches the Rfam family "Bacterial small subunit ribosomal RNA", at positions 227 to 700 of the family's 1533-position model. The record is from RNAcentral. Lineage: Bacteria; Pseudomonadati; Pseudomonadota; Gammaproteobacteria; Oceanospirillales; Halomonadaceae.